RNAcentral lists this transfer RNA (92 nucleotides) under Campylobacter hominis ATCC BAA-381. RNAcentral describes it as "tRNA-Leu". It matches the Rfam family "tRNA". From Rfam's summary of the family: Transfer RNA (tRNA) molecules are approximately 80 nucleotides in length. Their secondary structure includes four short double-helical elements and three loops (D, anti-codon, and T loops). The record is from RNAcentral. Lineage: Bacteria; Pseudomonadati; Campylobacterota; Epsilonproteobacteria; Campylobacterales; Campylobacteraceae.
UGCCCAGGUGGCGGAAUUGGUAGACGCAAGGGACUUAAAAUCCCUCGGAUUUUUUUCUUCCGUGCCGGUUCAAGUCCGGCCCCGGGCACCAC